CUUCUUGCAAACUUUAAAAUUAUUUUGAAAUUAUACCUAUUUUCUAUCGUUAUAUGUGUGUGUAUAUAUAUAUAUAUAUAUAGACAUGCAUUCAAGCAUAAAAAUUACAAAACGACAAAAAAAAAAAAAAGAAAUCUCUACACUACGAAGCCUCAAUACAUGAAAGGAGUUGGGGCAAUUGCCGACGAAAAGUUUAGCCUACAUUUUUUUC
This 211-nucleotide long non-coding RNA is filed under the name Carica papaya (papaya). Its description in RNAcentral is "long non-coding RNA (CPAP_LNC007397)". The record is from RNAcentral. Lineage: Eukaryota; Viridiplantae; Streptophyta; Magnoliopsida; Brassicales; Caricaceae.